This 449-nucleotide unclassified non-coding RNA is filed under the name Hevea brasiliensis (rubber tree). The record is from RNAcentral. Lineage: Eukaryota; Viridiplantae; Streptophyta; Magnoliopsida; Malpighiales; Euphorbiaceae.
CUGCUUCCAAUUGUCUUACCAUUAGAAACCAUUUCCCACUCUCUUUCAAAUGGAUAGGCUGAUGGCAAAACAGAAGUUGUUCCAGAAGAUUCACUCUCAUUUAAGUAUUUCACUUCCAGGGAUGAACUAUUUCUCCCAGUUGAGGCCUGAAUUGUUUUGCUCGUGUCAAGACUUUCUUCUGUUGGAAGUGAGGUUACAAUCUCGUUGUCAUCUUUGUAAACAAUCCCAGGUUCUAUAACUGCAGCCAUUGUUGCAGUGACUGAAAUGCUCACAUCUACAGACUCACUGGAUUCAUGAACAGGGAAACUAGAAGAAUCCCAUGAAGAAUCAGAAUUCUCUUUUAACUCUGAGCUAGGCAGUCCCCCUUUGUGGUCAGUGAAAGGAUUUGUUGUAUUCAACAAAUCUGCAGUUUCACCAUUGACCAAAUUUUGCUCAAUUCCUGAAAUUGA